CCCGCUGAACUUAAGCAUAUCAAUAAGCGGAGGAAAAGAAACUAACAAGGAUUCCCCUAGUAACUGCGAGUGAAGCGGGAAAAGCUCAAAUUUAAAAUCUGGCGGUCUCGCGGCCGUCCGAGUUGUAAUCUGGAGAAGCGUUUAUCCGCGUCGGACCGUGUACAAGUCUUCUGGAAGGGAGCGUCAUAGAGGGUGAGAAUCCCGUCUUUGACACGGACAACCGAUGCUUUUGUGAUGCGCUCUCGAAGAGUCGAGUUGUUUGGGAAUGCAGCUCAAAAUGGGUGGUAAAUUCCAUCUAAAGCUAAAUAUUGGCGAGAGACCGAUAGCGAACAAGUACCGUGAGGGAAAGAUGAAAAGCACUUUGGAAAGAGAGUUAAACAGUACGUGAAAUUGUUGAAAGGGAAACGCUUGUAGUCAGUCGCGUCUUCUGGAACUCAGCCUUGCUUCUGCUUGGUGCACUUUCCAGUUUGACGGGUCAGCAUCGGUUUCGGUGGGGCAGACAAAGGCAGAGGGAAGGUGGCCGCUCCGGUGGUGUUAUAGCCCUCUGUUGUGCGUGUCCCCUGGGACCGAGGAAUCCGGCGCUCGUCGCCUGGGAUGCUGGCGUAAUGGCUUUAAGCGACCCGUCUUGAAACACGG
This 636-nucleotide ribosomal RNA is filed under the name uncultured fungus. Its description in RNAcentral is "eukaryotic LSU rRNA". It matches the Rfam family "Eukaryotic large subunit ribosomal RNA", at positions 24 to 664 of the family's 3401-position model. Lineage: Eukaryota; Fungi. The record is from RNAcentral.